RNAcentral lists this ribosomal RNA (425 nucleotides) under uncultured bacterium. Its description in RNAcentral is "partial 16S ribosomal RNA". It matches the Rfam family "Bacterial small subunit ribosomal RNA", at positions 354 to 796 of the family's 1533-position model. The record is from RNAcentral.
GUGGGGAAUAUUGGACAAUGGGCGAAAGCCUGAUCCAGCAAUGCCGCGUGAGUGAUGAAGGCCUUAGGGUUGUAAAGCUCUUUUACCAGGGAUGAUAAUGACAGUACCUGGAGAAUAAGCUCCGGCUAACUCCGUGCCAGCAGCCGCGGUAAUACGGAGGGAGCUAGCGUUGUUCGGAAUUACUGGGCGUAAAGCGCACGUAGGCGGUUAUACAAGUCAGGAGUGAAAUCCCAGGGCUCAACCCUGGAAUUGCUUUUGAAACUGUAUAGCUAGAGUCCCGGAGGGGUUAAUGGAAUUCCGAGUGUAGAGGUGAAAUUCGCAGAUAUUCGGAGGAACACCAGUGGCGAAGGCGAUUAACUGGACGGGCACUGACGCUGAGGCACGAAAGCGUGGGGAUCAAACAGGAUUAGAUACCCGGGUAGUCC